This 365-nucleotide ribosomal RNA is filed under the name uncultured eukaryote. RNAcentral's name for it is "partial 18S ribosomal RNA". It matches the Rfam family "Eukaryotic small subunit ribosomal RNA", at positions 592 to 976 of the family's 1831-position model. The record is from RNAcentral.
CAAUAGCGUAUAUUUAAGUUGUUGCAGUUAAAAAGCUCGUAGUCGGAUUUUGGCUGAGAACGAUCGGUCCGCCGUUAGGUGUGCACUGAUUGGUCUCAGCUUCCUGGUGAGGAGGUGUGCUUCACGGCCACUUAGUCACCGUGGUUACUUUGAAAAAAUUAGAGUGUUCAAAGCGGGCUUACGCUUGAAUAUAUUAGCAUGGAAUAACACCAUAGGACUCCUGUCCUAUUUCGUCGGUCUCGGGACGGGAGUAAUGAUUAAGAGGAACAGUUGGGGGCAUUCGUAUUUCAUUGUCAGAGGUGAAAUUCUUGGAUUUAUGAAAGACGAACUUCUGCGAAAGCAUUUGCCAAGGAUGUUUUCAUUGA